Molecule: unclassified non-coding RNA, 259 nt
Filed under: plant metagenome
Description: partial contains small subunit ribosomal RNA, internal transcribed spacer 1, and 5.8S ribosomal RNA
Source: RNAcentral
CGUAGGUGAACCUGCGGAAGGAUCAUUAUUGUAUAACCGAGGUGCGUGGGCUGUCGCUGACCCGAAAGGUCGUGCACGCCCGAGUGCCCUCACACACAUCCAUCUCACCCCUAUGUGCACCACCGCGUGGGUCCCCCUUUGGCUUGUUCGGAGGGGGGCUUACGUUUUCACACAAACUUUGUAUGCAGUGUAGAAUGUAUUUUUUGUUUUUGCGAUCACGCAAUCAAUACAACUUUCAACAACGGAUCUCUUGGCUCUC